UGGUCAUACAGCGAAUUACAUCAUGUAGUAAUGAGCAGUGUGCAUCAGUCGAUGACAGAUGAGCCAUCAGUGUGCAGAGUAAUCACUUCAUAAGUUGGUUGUGCGUGAAUGAAAAGAUAUCUUCGUCUUUCAUCUGGAGAAUGAAUCCGCUGCCUGUUCCUUGUACCGAAAACAUCCAGGACUGUUUAAACCCAUAUACACUUCAAAACAUUCACAACAUCUUCAGAGGAGAACAUCACGGAGAACUGCAGAAGAGCUGUGCAGACGCUUGGCAGCUCAUCGCAGCUUUGUGAGCCGGUGCUGGAGAUACUUGGGGACACAACUGCAUAGUGGUUAUCCUGUCGUGUGUCGACCUGAGGAUUCGCCUCAAGUUUCCUGACCCGACUGGACAGUAUGUUGGCUUUGGCCCGCUCCUGGACUACACCUGGACAUGUGUCGAGCCACCCCUCCUUCUUUUUGAGAGCCAGGUAUUUUCUGCAGCUCCUCCAUGAAUGGUUCUGGUUCCUGAAACACCUCCUCCAACACCAGUGCCAUCAAGUCCCCGACAUAUCCUGUAAAAAAGUAAUUCAAGAACAAAAAUCUAUUUCAUAAUGUUUGGUUAUUGCUCAUUUUUCACACUCAUCUG
Long non-coding RNA from Labrus bergylta (ballan wrasse), 625 nucleotides. RefSeq lists it as uncharacterized. The record is from RefSeq and is a predicted model, not a curated record. NCBI's taxonomy places the organism in Eukaryota, Metazoa, Chordata, Actinopteri, Labriformes, Labridae.